Ciona savignyi (Pacific transparent sea squirt) is the source of this 45-nucleotide non-coding RNA. The record is from Rfam. NCBI's taxonomy places the organism in Eukaryota, Metazoa, Chordata, Ascidiacea, Phlebobranchia, Cionidae.
UAAACGGCUCUUUUCAGAGCCACCCAAAUUUAAAAAAGAGCUUAU